UCAUUGCUGGAACAAACGCCCUCACGGGUGCUACCCAGAAACCCUUUGUGAACUAUACCUUACUGUUGCCUCGGCAUUGGUUGGCUUCGAAUGAAGUCCCUGCGUCCCCCGCGGAUGCAGGAGCAGACCGGCCGACGGCCCUUGUAAACUCUUGUUUUUGUAAUAUCUUCUGAGUAAACAACUUAUAAAUGAAUCAAAACUUUCAACAACGGAUCUCUUGGUUCUGGCAUCGAUGAAGAACGCAGCGAAAUGCGAUAAGUAAUGUGAAUUGCAGAAUUCAGUGAAUCAUCGAAUCUUUGAACGCACAUUGCGCCCGGUGGUAUUCCACCGGGCAUGCCUGUUCGAGCGUCAUUUCAUCCCCUAAAAGCCUGGCUUUUAGUAUUGGAGGAACACCUGUAAAAGGGUGCCCUCUCAAAUUUAGUGGCGGGCUCGCUAGAAUUUUGAGCGUAGUAAUUUUACCUCGUUUUUAAAGCCUAGUGGGACUUCUUGCCGUAAAACCCCCCAAUUUUCUG
This 512-nucleotide ribosomal RNA is filed under the name Ophiognomonia vasiljevae. Its description in RNAcentral is "eukaryotic LSU rRNA". The stretch from base 198 to 351 matches the Rfam family "5.8S ribosomal RNA". The record is from RNAcentral. Lineage: Eukaryota; Fungi; Ascomycota; Sordariomycetes; Diaporthales; Gnomoniaceae.